CACUACAGUGAUAUGGUUUCCCCGACAAGCGUAAACGAUGUUUGCACUUAGCGGGAAGGGUAAGAACCUUCGACUAAGGUUCGACUCGAGCGCCAGCGAGAGAACGUUGCCACAGGCAAUGGCGCCGAAGGGCGAGGAGAGAUAGCGACGAGUUAUCCUUCCCCCACCACCA
This 172-nucleotide small RNA is filed under the name Klebsiella pneumoniae UHKPC23. Its description in RNAcentral is "RtT RNA". The stretch from base 39 to 172 matches the Rfam family "RtT RNA". Rfam says of the family: This family represents a bacterial cis-regulatory element known as RtT RNA. The exact function of RtT is unknown although it is thought that it may be involved in changing the cellular response in relation to amino acid starvation. The record is from RNAcentral. Lineage: Bacteria; Pseudomonadati; Pseudomonadota; Gammaproteobacteria; Enterobacterales; Enterobacteriaceae. RNAcentral also lists the same sequence under 11 other names.